AGGGGAGUAGCUCAAGUGGUAGAGCACUGGUCUCCAAAACCAGGGGCUGCGGGUUCGAGUCCUGUCUCCCCUGCCA
This 76-nucleotide transfer RNA is filed under the name Bacillota bacterium. RNAcentral describes it as "Firmicutes bacterium (anaerobic digester metagenome) tRNA-Trp". It matches the Rfam family "tRNA". Rfam says of the family: Transfer RNA (tRNA) molecules are approximately 80 nucleotides in length. Lineage: Bacteria; Bacillati; Bacillota. RNAcentral also lists the same sequence under 1 other name. The record is from RNAcentral.